ACGGAAGGCAGCAGUGGGGGAUAUUGCACAAUGGGGGAAACCCUGAUGCAGCGACGCCGCGUGAGUGAUGAAGUAUUUCGGUAUGUAAAGCUCUAUCAGCAGGGAAGAAAAUGACGGUACCUGACUAAGAAGCACCGGCUAAAUACGUGCCAGCAGCCGCGGUAAUACGUAUGGUGCAAGCGUUAUCCGGAUUUACUGGGUGUAAAGGGAGCGUAGACGGCAUAGCAAGCCAGAUGUGAAAGGUGGGGGCUCAACCCCCAAGCUGCAUUUGGAACUGUUAAGCUAGAGUAUCGGAGAGGUAAGUGGAAUUCCUAGUGUAGCGGUGAAAUGCGUAGAUAUUAGGAGGAACACCAGUGGCGAAGGCGGCUUGCUGGACGACAACUGACGCUGAGGCGCGAAAGCGUGGGGAGCAAACAGGAUUAGAUACCCUGGUA
RNAcentral lists this ribosomal RNA (434 nucleotides) under uncultured Lachnospiraceae bacterium. Its description in RNAcentral is "partial 16S ribosomal RNA". It matches the Rfam family "Bacterial small subunit ribosomal RNA", at positions 341 to 792 of the family's 1533-position model. Lineage: Bacteria; Bacillati; Bacillota; Clostridia; Lachnospirales; Lachnospiraceae. The record is from RNAcentral.